Molecule: non-coding RNA, 349 nt
Organism: Phasianus colchicus (ring-necked pheasant)
Lineage: Eukaryota; Metazoa; Chordata; Aves; Galliformes; Phasianidae
Source: RefSeq, a predicted model, not a curated record
AACCCACUGCUCCCCCCCACAGGAAGCCCACGCUGUCCUCACCUUCGCCAUUGACAGCGCCCAGCGCAAGGUGCUGGCGACCACCACCCGCGGCAGCUGCUCUGCAGAGGAGAUGCAGCGCUGCCUCGUGGCUGCCCAGCGUGCGGCCGACGCCAUUUUCCAGUUCUAUCGUGACUGCGUCCGGAGGAAAUACUCCAAAUCGUGACUCUGAGCCCCCCGGGAUGGCCGGACCGUCCCUGUGUGUGUGUCCCCCCCCUCCAACUGUGCCCCCCACCCUGGGGUCAGCCGGACUGUCCCCGUGUCCCCAGUGUUUCCUUAUUGUCACCCCAAUAAAAUCUCUCACAGCCUU